RNAcentral lists this ribosomal RNA (389 nucleotides) under Neoclytus mucronatus. RNAcentral's name for it is "partial 12S ribosomal RNA". The record is from RNAcentral. Lineage: Eukaryota; Metazoa; Arthropoda; Insecta; Coleoptera; Cerambycidae.
ACUAGGAAUUAGAUACCCUAUUAUUUUGAAUGUAAAUUUUUACCUUGGGUUAGUAUUAGUUAUGAUCUUGAAAACUAAAGAUUUUGGCGGUAUUUUAUUCUAGUCAGAGGAACCUGUCCAGUAAUUGAUAUUCCACGAUAAAUUCUACUUUUUCUUAGUUUACAUAUCGUCGUGUUUUGAAUAUUUUUAUAGAAUUAAAAUGUUCAUGAUUUCUUUUAGAAGGAAGAUCAGAUCAAGGUGUAGCUUAUGGAAGAGGUUGAGAUGGGUUACAGUAAAUUUAUUUAAGGAUUAAAUUCUGAAAAAUUUUAUGAAUUUGGAUUUGAUAGUAAUUUUAACUAUUUAGUUAAUUUGAUAUUAGCUCUAAAAUAUGCACACAUGGCCCGUCGCUC